This 253-nucleotide ribosomal RNA is filed under the name uncultured bacterium. Its description in RNAcentral is "partial 16S ribosomal RNA". It matches the Rfam family "Bacterial small subunit ribosomal RNA", at positions 524 to 776 of the family's 1533-position model. The record is from RNAcentral.
UACAGAGGUGGCAAGCGUUGUUCGGAAUUACUGGGCGUAAAGGGCGCGUAGGCGGCUUUUUAAGUCAGACGUGAAAUCCCCCGGCUUAACCUGGGAACUGCGUCGGAUACUGGAUGGCUUGAAUUCGGGAGAGGGAUGCAGAAUUCCAGGUGUAGCGGUGAAAUGCGUAGAUAUCUGGAGGAAUACCGGUGGCGAAGGCGGCAUCCUGGACCGACAUUGACGCUGAUGAGCGAAAGCUAGGGGAGCAAACGGG